This 252-nucleotide ribosomal RNA is filed under the name uncultured prokaryote. RNAcentral describes it as "partial 16S ribosomal RNA". It matches the Rfam family "Bacterial small subunit ribosomal RNA", at positions 526 to 777 of the family's 1533-position model. The record is from RNAcentral.
CGGAGGGGGCCAGCGUUGCUCGGAGUUACUGGGCGUAAAGGGCUUGUAGGCGGUCUGAUAAGUCCUGUGUGAAAUCCCCUGGCUUAACCAGGGAACUGCGCCGGAUACUGUCGGACUAGAGGCCGGGAGAGGGAAGCGGAAUUCCCAGUGUAGCGGUGAAAUGCGUAGAUAUCUGGAGGAACACCAAUGGCGAAGGCAACUUCCUGGGGCAAUACUGACACUGAUGUGCGAAAGCGUGGGGAGCAAACAGGA